GAUGAACGCUGGCGGCGUGCCUAAUACAUGCAAGUCGAGCGAACAGACGAGGAGCUUGCUCCUCUGACGUUAGCGGCGGACGGGUGAGUAACACGUGGAUAACCUACCUAUAAGACUGGGAUAACUUCGGGAAACCGGAGCUAAUACCGGAUAAUAUAUUGAACCGCAUGGUUCAAUAGUGAAAGACGGUUUUGCUGUCACUUAUAGCUGGAUCCGCGCCGCAUUAGCUAGUUGGUAAGGUAACGGCUUACCAAGGCAACGAUGCGUAGCCGACCUGAGAGGGUGAUCGGCCACACUGGAACUGAGACACGGUCCAGACUCCUACGGGAGGCAGCAGUAGGGAAUCUUCCGCGAUGGGCGAAAGCCUGACGGAGCAACGCCGCGUGAGUGAUGAAGGUCUUCGGAUCGUAAAACGCUGUUAUUAGGGAAGAACAUAUGUGUAAGUAACUGUGCACAUCUUGACGGUACCUAAUCAGAAAGCCACGGCUAACUACGUG
This 497-nucleotide ribosomal RNA is filed under the name uncultured bacterium. RNAcentral describes it as "partial 16S ribosomal RNA". It matches the Rfam family "Bacterial small subunit ribosomal RNA", at positions 28 to 507 of the family's 1533-position model. The record is from RNAcentral.